RNAcentral lists this ribosomal RNA (105 nucleotides) under Schizosaccharomyces cryophilus OY26. The record is from RNAcentral. Lineage: Eukaryota; Fungi; Ascomycota; Schizosaccharomycetes; Schizosaccharomycetales; Schizosaccharomycetaceae.
AAAGCUAACCAUACCUAGGCGAAAACACCAGUUCCCGUCCGAUCACUGCAGUUCAGUGUCUGAGGAUCUUGUGAUUAAUAUGCUUCGAAGAGAACAUUUGUUUUC